UCCCCCUUGUGGGGGGCUGUCUCGCUAGAGAAUGUAACUAGCGACAAGGGUUGCGCUCGUUGCGGGACUUAACCCAACACCUCACGGCACGAGCUGACGACAACCAUGCAGCACCUGUGGCGGCUUCCUGAGUUACCCCAAGAUCAUUCCCCUUUCGGGGUUUUACUACCGUCAUGUCAAGCCUUGGUAAGGUUUUUCGUUUAGCAUCGAAUUAAACCACACGCUCCACCGCUUGUGCGGGCCCCCGUCAAUUCCUUUGAGUUUUAGCCUUGCGGCCGUACUCCCCAGGCGGGAUGCUUAUCGCGUUAGCUGCGGCACAGGGGGGGUCGAUACCCCCUAUACCUAGCAUCCAUUGUUUAGGGCGUGGACUAC
RNAcentral lists this unclassified non-coding RNA (372 nucleotides) under uncultured Dehalococcoidia bacterium. Its description in RNAcentral is "contains 16S-23S intergenic spacer region". Lineage: Bacteria; Bacillati; Chloroflexota; Dehalococcoidia. The record is from RNAcentral.